UACGAGGGGGGCAAGUGUUGUUCGGAAUUACUGGGCGUAAAGCGUGCGUAGGUGGUUCGUUAAGUCUGAUGUGAAAGCCCUGGGCUCAACCUGGGAAUGGCAUUGGAAACUGGCGACCUAGAGUGCGGUAGAGGGUAGUGGAAUUCCCGGUGUAGCAGUGAAAUACGUAGAGAUCGGGAGGAACAUCUGUGGCGAAGGCGACUGCCUGGACCAGCACUGACACUGAGGCACGAAAGCGUGGGGAGCAAACAGG
RNAcentral lists this ribosomal RNA (253 nucleotides) under uncultured bacterium. Its description in RNAcentral is "partial 16S ribosomal RNA". It matches the Rfam family "Bacterial small subunit ribosomal RNA", at positions 524 to 776 of the family's 1533-position model. The record is from RNAcentral.